GACGAACGCUGGCGGCGUGCUUAACACAUGCAAGUCGAACGGAAAGGCCCUGCUUUUGUGGGGUGCUCGAGUGGCGAACGGGUGAGUAACACGUGAGUAACCUGCCCUUGACUUUGGGAUAACUUCAGGGAACUGGGGCUAAUACCGGAUAGGAGCUCCUGCUGCAUGGUGGGGGUUGGAAAGUUUCGGCGGUUGGGGAUGGACUCGCGGCUUAUCAGCUUGUUGGUGGGGUAGUGGCUUACCAAGGCUUUGACGGGUAGCCGGCCUGAGAGGGUGACCGGCCACAUUGGGACUGAGAUACGGCCCAGACUCCUACGGGAGGCAGCAGUGGGGAAUAUUGCACAAUGGGCGGAAGCCUGAUGCAGCAACGCCGCGUGCGGGAUGACGGCCUUCGGGUUGUAAGCCGCUUUCGCCUGUGACGAAGCGUGAGUGACGGUAAUGGGUAAAGAAGCACCGGCUAACUACGUG
RNAcentral lists this ribosomal RNA (468 nucleotides) under uncultured bacterium. RNAcentral describes it as "partial 16S ribosomal RNA". It matches the Rfam family "Bacterial small subunit ribosomal RNA", at positions 28 to 507 of the family's 1533-position model. The record is from RNAcentral.